AGUGAACGCUGGCGGUAGGCCUAACACAUGCAAGUCGAACGGCAGCACAGUAAGAGCUUGCUCUUACGGGUGGCGAGUGGCGGACGGGUGAGGAAUACAUCGGAAUCUACUUUUUCGUGGGGGAUAACGUAGGGAAACUUACGCUAAUACCGCAUACGACCUACGGGUGAAAGCAGGGGAUCUUCGGACCUUGCGCGAUUGAAUGAGCCGAUGUCGGAUUAGCUAGUUGGCGGGGUAAAGGCCCACCAAGGCGACGAUCCGUAGCUGGUCUGAGAGGAUGAAGAGGCCCACUGGGACUGAGCCACCGUCCAGGCUCCUACGGGAGGCAGCAAGGGGGAAUGUUGGAAAAAGGGGGGAAGCCUGAACCAGGCAUGCCGGGUGGGUGAAGAAAGGCCUCGGGGUGUAAAACCCCUUUGGUGGGGAAAAAAAGCAGCAGGUUAAUCGCCCCCUGUUCUGACGGUACCCAAAGAAUAAGCACCGGCUAACUUCGUG
This 492-nucleotide ribosomal RNA is filed under the name uncultured bacterium. RNAcentral's name for it is "partial 16S ribosomal RNA". It matches the Rfam family "Bacterial small subunit ribosomal RNA", at positions 29 to 507 of the family's 1533-position model. The record is from RNAcentral.